CGUGUAGGCGGCUUGGUCAGUCCGGCGUGAAACCUCGGGGCUCAACCCCGAGCCUGCGUUGGAUACUGCCUCGCUCGAGUCCGGGAGGGGAGAGCGGAAUUCCCAGUGUAGCGGUGAAAUGCGCAGAUAUUGGGAAGAACACCGGUGGCGAAGGCGGCUCUCUGGAACGGUACUGACGCUGAGACGCGAAAGCGUGGGGAGCAAACAGGAUUAGAUACCCUGGUAGUCCACGCCGUAAACGAUGGGCACUAGAUGUGGGCGGUGUCGACUCCGUCCGUGUCGCAGCUAACGCAUUAAGUGCCCCGCCUGGGGAGUACGGCCGCAAGGCUAAA
RNAcentral lists this ribosomal RNA (332 nucleotides) under uncultured bacterium. RNAcentral's name for it is "bacterial SSU rRNA". It matches the Rfam family "Bacterial small subunit ribosomal RNA", at positions 568 to 898 of the family's 1533-position model. The record is from RNAcentral.